RNAcentral lists this ribosomal RNA (441 nucleotides) under uncultured bacterium. Its description in RNAcentral is "partial 16S ribosomal RNA". It matches the Rfam family "Bacterial small subunit ribosomal RNA", at positions 338 to 795 of the family's 1533-position model. The record is from RNAcentral.
CCUACGGGAGGCAGCAGUGGGGGAUAUUGCACAAUGGGGGAAACCCUGAUGCAGCGACGCCGCGUGUGGGAAGACGGUCUUCUGGAUUGUACACCACUGUCCCCAGGGACGAAAAUGACGGUACUUGCGGAGGAAGCUCCGGCUAACUACGUGCCAGCAGCCGCGGAAAUACGUAGGGAGCAAGCGUUGUCCGGAAGUACUGGGCGUAAAGCGCCAGUAGGCGGUAUGUCAAGUCCAGAGUGAAAGCCCCGGGCUCAACGGGGGAAUUGUAUUUGAAACUGGCAAACGGGAGUGUGUGAGAGGAAAGUGGAAUUCCAGGUGUAGGAGUGAAAUCCGUAGAUAUCAGGAGGAACAUCAGUGGCGAAGGCGACUAUCUGGCACAUAACUGACGCUGAGGAGCGAAAGCGUGGGUAGCAAACAGGAUUAGAUACCCCGGUAGUC